UCUAGGGUGGGACGCCGGUGGGGGGAAAUCCUUGCUCCCUUCCGCGCAUCGCGCAGAGAGAGAGAGAGGCUGCAUUUGGGAAGGAGGGAAGCCCUCUCUGAUCUUCUCUCUCCUCUUCUCCUGCCUUGUUCUUGAGCUGCUCCGCUUUGCCCCGGGUUAAGGAGGGCUUCCUCAUCGAGGACAGCAGAAGCAGAAAAAUACCCACACAGCCCCCCAGCCUGGUCAAGAAGCAUCCUCCUCUUCUCUCCUAGUGGAUCUGUUUUCAGGUUCAUGAUGGUGGUAUUGACAAUCCUCGCUUCAUUGAUGCUGGCUGCAGUACACUCGCAAGAAGCAGAGGAUACCAUAACAUACACGCAAUGCACUGAUGGUUAUGAAUGGGAUCCUGUCAUGCAGCAAUGCAAAGAUAUUGACGAAUGUGAAAUUGUGCCGGAUGCAUGCAAAGGCGGGAUGAAAUGUGUGAACCACUUUGGAGGAUACCUCUGUCUGCCCAGAACUGCUCAGAUCAUUGUUAACAACGGCCAGGAAGGAACAGCCUCUGAAAACACCAGUGGCGGAAACAGCAACCCUGUUCGGCGGACCCCUCCCGAUAACGUCCCUUCUCGAAUCCAGUGCGCAGUUGGAUAUGAGGCGACAGAUCAUGCUACGUGUC
This is a non-coding RNA of Pogona vitticeps (central bearded dragon), 649 nucleotides long. Lineage: Eukaryota; Metazoa; Chordata; Lepidosauria; Squamata; Agamidae. The record is from RefSeq and is a predicted model, not a curated record.